RNAcentral lists this long non-coding RNA (822 nucleotides) under Salmo salar (Atlantic salmon). RNAcentral's name for it is "lncRNA (ENSSSAG00000088385.1)". The record is from RNAcentral. Lineage: Eukaryota; Metazoa; Chordata; Actinopteri; Salmoniformes; Salmonidae.
GGGUGAACAGGCAGUGGCUCGAGUGGUUGAUGUCCUUGAUGAUCUUUUUGGCUUUCCAGUGACAUCGGGUGCACCCGGUAAUAUGUUGGGCUUACCUCACCACCCUCUGGAGAGUCUUGCGGUUGCGGGCAGUGCAAUUUAGGGUGGAGUCACAUUCUGGCAGAAUAAAAAAUGGGGGGUCCCCGCUGGAAAAGUCUGAAUACCACUGAUAGUGGCUAUGGAGGUGGUGGAACUGGUUAUUUUGGAGGUGGUGGAACUGGUUAUUUUGGAGGUGGUGUAACUGGUUAUUUUGGAGGUGGUGGAACUUGUUAUUUUGGAGGUGGUGGAACUUGUUAUUUUGGAGGUGGUGGAACUUGUUAUUUUGGAGGUGGUGGAACUGGUUAUUUUGGAGGUGGUGGAACUGGUUAUUUUGGAGGUGGUGGAACUGGUUAUUUUGGAGGAGGUGGAACUGGUUAUUUUGGCGGUGGUGGAACUGGUUAUUUUGGAGGUGGUGGAACUGGUUAUUUUGGCAAUGACUAUUUUGGAGGUGGUGUAACUGGUUAUUUUGGCGGUGGUGGAACUGGUUAUUUUGGAGGUGGUGGAACUGGUUAUUUUGGAGGUGGUGUAACUGGUUAUUUUGGAGGUGGUGGAACUGAUUAUUUUGGAGGUGGUGGAACUGGUUAUUUUGGAGGUGGUGUAACUGGUUAUUUUGGAGGUGGUGUAACUGGUUAUUUUGGAGGUGGUGUAACUGGUUAUUUUGGCGGUGGUGUAACUGGUUAUUUUGGCGGUGGUGGAACUGGUUAUUUUGGAGGUGGUUGAACUGGUUAUUUUGGAGGUGGUGGA